This 703-nucleotide ribosomal RNA is filed under the name uncultured delta proteobacterium. RNAcentral's name for it is "bacterial SSU rRNA". It matches the Rfam family "Bacterial small subunit ribosomal RNA", at positions 99 to 787 of the family's 1533-position model. The record is from RNAcentral. Lineage: Bacteria; Deltaproteobacteria.
CGCACGGGUGAGGAACGCGUAGGUAAUCUACCCUCUGGCGGGGGACAACACUCCGAAAGGAAUGCUAAUACCGCGUAAGACCACACUCACUACGGUGAGAGCGGUUAAAGGUGCCUCAAAGCACCACCAGAGGAUGAGCCUGCGUCCCAUCAGCUUGUUGGUAAGGUAACGGCUUACCAAGGCGAAGACGGGUAGCUGGUCUGAGAGGAUGAUCAGCCACACUGGUACUGGAACACGGACCAGACUCCUACGGGAGGCAGCAGUGAGGAAUAUUGGGCAAUGGGCGCAAGCCUGACCCAGCCACGCCGCGUGUGUGAUGAAGGCCUUCGGGUCGUAAAGCACUGUGGGGAGAGACGAAACAGCGCAUCAGGAAAUGGUUGCGCCUUGACGGUACCUCCUUAGCAAGCACCGGCUAACUCUGUGCCAGCAGCCGCGGUAAUACAGAGGGUGCAAACGUUGCUCGGAUUUACUGGGCGUAAAGCGCGUGUAGGCGGACUCGCAAGUCGGUUGUGAAAUCCCUGGGCUCAACCUAGGGACUGCAUCCGAAACUGCUUGUCUUGAGUAAUGGAGAGGGUGGCGGAAUUCCCGGUGUAGAGGUGAAAUUCGUAGAUAUCGGGAGGAACAUCAGUGGCGAAGGCGGCCACCUGGACAUUUACUGACGCUGAGACGCGAAAGCGUGGGGAGCAAACAGGAUUAGAUACCC